UCUAAGAGCUUUGGAUUUUGUAAGAAAGAAAUGAUUCCAGAGAAGAGAGUGUAUCUUCCUAUCCUUCUCUUCAUUUGUCUCCACUCCUUUUCAUCCCGGUUUGCUUUCUCGCAACCUUCCUGGGACUAUAAUGUCAGUUUUUUGAAUUCUACUACCGGACUUUCCAGUUCUUGGAUCAAUAUGCCAUCUGUUAGAGUUUUCAAUACCUCCGAGCCCUCUCAAUUGACACCUAUUCUUCAGAGCAGAAAGGAUAGCUCUCAGUUUCUCUUUGCCUUCUAUUGCCUCAGUAACGGUACCACAGAAUGCAUUCUUGGUAUCCUCUUAUUCCACACCAGCUCCCGUUAUCUAAGUGUUCCCCAGUUAGUUUGGUCUGCUAACCGGUACCAUCCAGUGAAAAUCAAUGCAACAUUGCAACUAGGCCAAGAUGGCAACUUGGUCUUGACAGACUCUGAUGGUACUCUUGUUUGGUCCACUAAUACUACUGGCAAAUCUGUUUCAGGCUUAAACAUGACAGUAAUGGGAAAUCUUGUACUCUUUGAUAAGAGAAAGCAUGCAAUUUGGAAGUCAUUUGAUCAUCCAACAGAUUGUUUGCUUCCGGGGCAGAAGUUGGUUUCUGGGCGGAAGCUGAUAUCAAGCGGUUCAGCAUCCAAUCAGUCUUUUUCUUUUACUAUUCUUUACGGAAGUCUGGUGUCUUCCAUAGAUACCAACCCACCUCAGUAUUAUAUCGCUUCAAGUAGGGAUGAUGCUGCAAAUAGUCCUUUUUUUGAUUUUGAUGGUCGAACCUUUACUGCUCUACAAGACCAUUAUACAUCAGAAACCCAAUUCAUAAAGCUUGGGCCUGAUGGACAUUUAAGGUUAUACCAGAUGGAUGCAUUUGAUUGGAAACAGGAUGGAGUCAUGAAUUCACAUUUAGGGAACUGUGGGUACCCAAUGGUGUGUGGAAGAUAUAGCAUUUGUACCAAUGAUGGACAAUGUAAUUGCCCGGUAGAAGGAAACUUCUUCAGGCCAAUAAAUAGGAACCCAAAUCUCGGAUGUUCACAGCUAACAACCAUUUCUUGCAACUCUUCGCAGUAUCAUAGUCUUAUAGAGCUCAAGGAUACAACAUAUUUUGCAUUUGAGACCGACUUUUACACAAGUUCGAACAUGUGGUUCGAGGGGACAAAGAUGGAAAAUUGCAAAGCGGCCUGUCUGAGUAACUGUUCCUGCAAAGCUGCUGUUUGGUCCGAACUCUAACAAAAAACUGCUUAAUACUGAGUGAAGUCUACUCUCUUAUGGACAACUGGUCUGGAAGUGACAAGACAAAAGUUUUUCUUAAGGUGCAGAAUUCCGUAAAAGCACAGUAUCAGUCACCAAUCAUUUCUCGAAGAAAGCAAUCAAGACCCUCGAAAGUGAUUGUAGCAUCUGCUCUUGCAGCUUUAGUGGGAAUAAUUUUAAGUAUUAGUGCAUGGUUUGUUCUUUUCAAAAAGAGAGCACUCUCCAUCAAGGCUGGGGAUCUUCUGGAUCUAGCACCAAUCUUACCGGGAAUCCUAACUCGAUUCUCUUACAAUGAGUUGAAAAUAAUUACUCAAGAUUUCAGCAGAAAGCUUGGGGAAGGAGGAUUUGGCUCUGUAUAUGAAGGAACACUGAGUAAUGGCAACAAAAUAGCUGUGAAGCGUCUGAAUGGGGUAGGUCAAGUCAAAGAUUCAUUCCUAACAGAAGUAAAGAUAGUUGGUAGCAUUCACCAUGUCAAUUUGGUAAAACUCAUCGGCUUUUGUGCUGAAAAAGAUCACCGGGUUCUGAUCUAUGAGUACAUGGUAAAUGGAUCAUUGGAUAGGUGGAUUUCUCAUGAAAAGCAAGAAAAUGGGCUUACAUGGCUUACGAGGCAAAGGAUAAUAUCAGAUAUAGCUAAAGGAUUAGCUUAUCUUCAUGAUGAAUGCAACCAGAAGAUUAUUCAUUUGGACAUCAAACCACACAACAUCCUCUUAGAUCAAAAUUUCAAUGCUAAGAUAUCUGAUUUUGGGUUGUCAAAACUAAUUGAGAAAGACAAAAGCAAAGUUGUGACUAGAAUGAGAGGAACACCAGGGUAUUUAGCCCCUGAAUGGUUGAGGUCGGUGAUCACUGAGAAAGUAGACGUGUAUGCCUUUGGAAUUGUGCUCUUGGAAGUUCUUUGUGGGCGAAAGAAUUUGGAUUGGUCGCAGGCUGAUGAGGAAGAUGUCCAUUUGCUUAGUGUUUUUAGGAGAAAAGCAGAACAAGAGCAGCUCAUGGAUAUGGUUGACAAAAACAACGAGGAUAUGCAGCUCCACAGAGAAGAAGUGACGGAAAUGAUGAGCCUCGCUGCAUGGUGUCUACAAGGCGAUUUCAACAAGAGGCCAUCCAUGUCAUUGGUGGUUAAGGUACUGGAAGGUUUGGUGUCUGUUGAAACCAACUUGGAUUUCAAUUUCACAAACCUAACUGAAGUAGGGGCGGGCAACCAACAAACGGAAGCCACAAUCAGUCCAAUACUUCCUUCUGUUUUAUCUGGACCAAGGUAAACAAUUUAGUCUUGAAAAGAACCAACUUAUAGUUAGACACAUGUCAACAAUUGCAAUAUUUCCAAUGAACUUUCAUGAAUCUAAUAUUCAGUAAGCAUUAGUUUUAUUGAGCUUCAUGUACUGUCUUGCAAUUUUUCCUUUUUUUUUUAUCAAGUUCUUAUAUUUUUAUAUUCAAUCAGUUUAGUAUAUGAUUUUAAUUCUUUUUAAAGGCGUGACAAUAUGCAACAACAAUUGUUAAAGAAUCUACUUGAGUUCGACUCG
This is an RNA transcript of Solanum dulcamara, 2771 nucleotides long. It is a transcript of the gene named G-type lectin S-receptor-like serine/threonine-protein kinase SD2-5, with no coding region annotated. The transcript has a single exon. NCBI's taxonomy places the organism in Eukaryota, Viridiplantae, Streptophyta, Magnoliopsida, Solanales, Solanaceae. The record is from RefSeq and is a predicted model, not a curated record.